UGAGAAACGCCAUUGAGCAUUAAACCCUACUAAAUAAGUUGCCGACUGUUGGAUCCUUGAGGCAGAGCGGAGAGAGAUGUCAGAGGCGGCGGCGGAGACAAGUGGGUUGCUGAGGAUGGCAGAGAUAGAAGGGAGAGGGAGGGGUCUGGUGGCGUCCCAGCCACUGAGGGCUGGUCAGGUUGUCCUCAGGGACUCUCCCGUACUCCUCUACUCUGCUCUUCCUUUGAUCAACCAAUCCUCUUUCUCUUCUUCCCCUUACUCCUCCACUUCCAACAUGUACUGCUCCAAGUGCUUCAGAAGCUUACAAUCCUCUUCUUCUUCAACCUCAGUGGUGCCUUGCCCUUGUUGUUCCCAUCAUCAUGUAUUCUGUAGCCAAAACUGCCUGUCCGCUGCGCUCACAUCAUCCCACUCUCCAUGGGUAUGCCAAGCCCUUUCUCGUCUUCGAGAUUGCCCCUCUCUCGUGCUUGAACAACCCAUGGAACGCCAGGUCCAGGCCCGUUUUCUGGUGGCCGCCUACCAUCUUGCCCUUUUCUUCCCUUCCCAAUUCCAGAUUCUGCUCUCCCUUGAGGGCGCGCCUAACGCCCCUGACACCACCGCUGCGCAAUUCCUGCAUUCCCUCAUCUGCUCCCUCUGCCCUCCUCAUCCUACUCUUGAGCCAUUCUCGGUGGAACUCACGGCCACAUUGCUGGCCAAGGACAAGUUCAAUGCCUUUGGGCUGAUGGAGCCUUUCUCCUCCCGUGACGAUGGCCAACGUUCCGUCCGAGCUUAUGGUAUCUACCCGAAUGCUUCUUUCUUCAACCACGACUGCCUUCCUAAUGCCUGCCGUUUCGACUACGUCGACACCGCCCCCGACCACCACAACAACACCGACAUCAUCGUUCGCGUUGUUCAUGAUGUUCCACAAGGCAGGGAGAUCUGCUUGAGCUAUUUUCCCGUCAACGAGAAUUAUGCCAGCAGGCAGAGGAGAUUGAUGGAGGACUAUGGCUUCACUUGCCAUUGUGACCGCUGCGAGGUCGAAGCCAAUUGGUCCGAUCAUGAAGACGAUGAUGUUGCCGAGGAGGUAGAGGAGGAGAAAGACGAGCUGAUGGACGAGGACCACCAUGACCAAAUGGCAUCCUCCCAAGGACAAGGAGAUGCUGAUUUCCCUCACGCCUAUUUUUUUAUCAGAUACAUGUGUGAUAGGGAAAAUUGCUGGGGCACCAUGGCUCCUUUGCCCCCCAAGGACGACGCUACUCCCUCUGACGUCUUGGAAUGUAAUGUAUGCGGCAACCUCAAGCAUGACCAAGCCGAUGCUAGUGGAGGAGAAGACGAGCUUUCCAUGGAUGACUGAGUUCUCUUCCUUCCUGCCUCUGUGACUGUUGGAAUGACUGCGAUUCCAAAUUAUCUUCUUGCCCGUGCCAGUUGAAAAGGCAGGCAUGUUGCAGAAAUUCCUGGGUUUGCAAUCUAAUUGUCGGGCUUCUGGGAUAAAUUGAUCAAUACUUUUGUCAAGACUCGUUGAGUUAGUCCAAUGACAUUCUGCUCUGGAUCAACUUAAUAUGGGAUUGUUUCGUGCCAUCCAUAACUUGGUACAUUCUUGACAAUAGAUAUUCUGUGUUGUUGUUGCAAGCUUGCAAAGAGGAGAAUUCAUUCAUCAUGCCCUUAUCUGUAUCUCUGGCUGGAUGGCGCUGGAAAAGACUCUCCCUUGUAAUAUUUUUCUCUUCUUUAAAAACCAUCUUUAAUUCGUACUUUGUAGAUUUUCUUGGUAUAGGCCAACUAGCAUUUUGCGGUGCUUGUUGAGGGAGAUUAUUACUCAUGGCAUUUAUGGAUGGAUAAAUGUUGCUGCUGCCAAGUGCCAAGUGAUAUACUUAUGUAGCCAUAAUCCAAAUUUUUAGUUUGUGAAGUGUAAAAGUUCUUUCAAAUUAAAGGCCUGUAAUGGUGUAGUGGGAUACAAGGCUUAUUACCACGCUGAUUGAAGGCUAGGAUGAUUCUUCUUC
This is an RNA transcript of Alnus glutinosa, 1973 nucleotides long. It is a transcript of the gene named histone-lysine N-methyltransferase ASHR2, with no coding region annotated. The record is from RefSeq and is a predicted model, not a curated record. Lineage: Eukaryota; Viridiplantae; Streptophyta; Magnoliopsida; Fagales; Betulaceae. The transcript has 3 exons.